GACGAACGCUGGCGGCGUGCUUAACACAUGCAAGUCGAGCGGUAAGGCCCUUUCGGGGGUACACGAGCGGCGAACGGGUGAGUAACACGUGGGUGACCUGCCCUUAGCUCUGGGAUAAGCCUGGGAAACUGGGUCUAAUACCGGAUAUGACUCCAUAACGCAUGUUGUGGGGUGGAAAGCCUUGUGCGGCUAGGGAUGGGCCCGCGGCCUAUCAGCUUGUUGGUGGGGUGAUGGCCACCAAGGCGACGACGGGUAGCCGGCC
Molecule: ribosomal RNA, 262 nt
Filed under: uncultured bacterium
Lineage: Bacteria
Description: partial 16S ribosomal RNA
Rfam family: Bacterial small subunit ribosomal RNA
Source: RNAcentral